This 2092-nucleotide long non-coding RNA is filed under the name Homo sapiens (human). Its description in RNAcentral is "HSALNT0357688". Lineage: Eukaryota; Metazoa; Chordata; Mammalia; Primates; Hominidae. The record is from RNAcentral.
GAGAAGGAGGACACCGGAGCCGGAGCUGAUGCUGACGGAGGACUCCCAGCCUGCAAUGACAGACCUGUGGUCAGUGUUCAGACAUCUAUUUGUUGCUGUUUUAUUCUGAUGUUUCCCUCAGAGCCUUUUCAAUCAGCUACAGGCCAGAAGGAAUCAGAACCCCAUGGAAAAGGGCUAUGCCAGGACAUAAGUGGAAAUAUUGGUUUUGCAACUAAACUCACAUUUGAAAAUGAUGCUCAUUCAAUCAAAUAUGACUAAACACUUUUAAGUGUUCUGGAACUAAGGAACUAAGACUGCCUUUACAGAGUCAUCCUUACAAAGCCUUCUUUGGAAAAACUGGCUUACAGAGUUCCCAGCCUUGCAGGUGAGUAAGAAAAGCCACUUCCUGGGAGGCCCAUGAGUCUUAGGAUAUUUUAGGGACCUCAAGAAAUGAGGAAUUCUUAUAAAUAAAACAGGUGAAAUCUGAUAUAGAGUUAUUGGCAUAGCUUCCUAGCCUUAAGAUCACUAGUAACAAGAGGCUUUAAAAAAUCCAAUCUGAGAUUCCUAAAGAAAACGUGCAGCAGAGCAAACUUAAGAACUUUAAGGAACUUUUAACACUCUUGCUGUGCCCAGCUGAACAACGCCUGUAAUCUGGGGAAAGAAGACUAAACAUCUCAUACGUGCCUGACUUGAAGAGUAGCGUAGGGAGAAGACAGAAUGGGAUAGAGUAGUACAGUCUCUCAAAUUUUUAAACAAAUUCUAACAUCGGGAGGUUGGAAACUAGAAUUAUUCAGCUUACAGAUGCUUUCAGCUUGUGCACAGAGAGAAGGCCAUGUCAAGACAUGGAGAGAAGGCCAGCAAGAGAGGCCACACCAGAAACUGCACACUGCGAGACCCUGAUCUUAAGACUUUCCUACCUCCAGAACUUUGAGAAAAUGAAUUCUAUUAUUUAAGCCAUGCAGUCUAUGGUAUUUUCUUAUGGCAGCCCAAGCAGACUAAUACAGUUAGUAAAAUAGAUUUGGGAAAAUUAUGACAUAAUCUACAUCUAUCUCAAACAUAAAAGGAAAAGCCAAGUCGUCUUAAGGAAUAACAAAAAUGGCAUAAAGUACCAUUUUACAAGAAGUUCAAUUUUGAAAUAAAAUUUAGUACAUAUUUUAGUCACUAAAAUUUUAACUCAGGAAAAAAACAAUUACAUCACAGAAGUCAAGACAGGAAAAUUUAUUUCUUAUAAAACUAUAUUUCAACAAACUAAGGUAAUUUAUUUAAAGUAACGUCAAAAUGCAUCAAUAUUUGUCUUCAGUAUAAUAAUAUAGUCCAAAUUUCUAGUAAUGUGAUUAUCUGUUUCCACCACUGCUUUCUUUUUUAAACCUCAUUGUGGCAAUAAUGAAGUUAACAAGCAACUAGAAAAUAUGAAACAACCAAGCACAAGACCAUAACAGCCACACAUUUGUUCUAAGCCAUUCAUCUAGGGUCUCUGGAUUUCAGCUUUCUCCUCUAUAAAGUGGACUAUGUGGAAGUGGAAGGAGGAGGAGAGUAGAGUUAAUGAAGAUGACCCCUUUGGUUCCUCUGAGAGUCAAAUAUCUAUGGGGAAUAUGUUGCCCUGCUUAGCGCUGCUCAGCACCACACACUGCAGCUGAAAAUUCACCCUUAAAGUUAUGAAAAAAUGGAUUUAUAGUUCCCCAAGCCUUUCUAAUAUAGACUGAUAAAUUAAAUGCUUUUUAAAAGUUACAUAUAACAUAUGAUUAGAAUCAUAAUAUUUUAGUAAUGUACUGAAGAAUACAAUCUUUUCCAAAUGCUUUCUCCAUUAAGUAUUUUUCAUUUUCAUUUUCUGAAUAUGAAGUAAGGGUUUGCUAAAAACAAAGGUCUUUGUAUUCAUUGCUGACUUUUUAAAAAUCUUAAUUAUACAUUAGUAAAAUGAACAGAUAAAUUUCUGCCAUUUUAAAAUAAUGUAUCCAAUAAAUACACGAAAACCUUGAAAUAAUCUAUGUCAAUAUAAGUCAGAAUUCAUUUGCUGUAAAGGUUGUUAUAGAAAUUAUAACACUGUGCCCUCUCCCUCUCCCUCUCCCUCUCCCCACGGCCCACGGUCUCCCUCUCCCUCUCUUUCCACGGUCUC